This 497-nucleotide ribosomal RNA is filed under the name uncultured bacterium. Its description in RNAcentral is "partial 16S ribosomal RNA". It matches the Rfam family "Bacterial small subunit ribosomal RNA", at positions 28 to 507 of the family's 1533-position model. The record is from RNAcentral.
GAUGAACGCUGGCGGCGUGCCUAAUACAUGCAAGUCGAGCGAACAGACGAGGAGCUUGCUCCUUUGACGUUAGCGGCGGACGGGUGAGUAACACGUGGGUAACCUACCUAUAAGACUGGGAUAACUUCGGGAAACCGGAGCUAAUACCGGAUAAUAUUUCGAACCGCAUGGUUCGAUAGUGAAAGAUGGCUUUGCUAUCACUUAUAGAUGGACCUGCGCCGUAUUAGCUAGUUGGUAAGGUAACGGCUUACCAAGGCAACGAUACGUAGCCGACCUGAGAGGGUGUUCGGCCACACUGGAACUGAGACACGGUCCAGACUCCUACGGGAGGCAGCAGUAGGGAAUCUUCCGCAAUGGGCGAAAGCCUGACGGAGCAACGCCGCGUGAGUGAUGAAGGUCUUCGGAUCGUAAAACUCUGUUAUUAGGGAAGAACAAACGUGUAAGUAACUGUGCACGCCUUGACGGUACCUAAUCAGAAAGCCACGGCUAACUACGUG